AUUGAACGCUGGCGGCAGGCCUAACACAUGCAAGUCGAGCGGAUGAAGGGAGCUUGCUCCUGGAUUCAGCGGCGGACGGGUGAGUAAUGCCUAGGAAUCUGCCUGGUAGUGGGGGAUAACGUCCGGAAGCGGGCGCUAAUACCGCAUACGCCCUGAGGGAGAAAGUGGGGGAUCUUCGGACCUCACGCUAUCAGAUGAGCCUAGGUCGGAUUAGCUAGUUGGUGGGGUAAAGGCCUACCAAGGCGACGAUCCGUAACUGGUCUGAGAGGAUGAUCAGUCACACUGGAACUGAGACACGGUCCAGACUCCUACGGGAGGCAGCAGUGGGGAAUAUUGGACAAUGGGCGAAAGCCUGAUCCAGCCAUGCCGCGUGUGUGAAGAAGGUCUUCGGAUUGUAAAGCACUUUAAGUUGGGAGGAAGGGCAGUAAGUUAAUACCUUGCUGUUUUGACGUUACCAACAGAAUAAGCACCGGCUAACUUCGUG
This 484-nucleotide ribosomal RNA is filed under the name uncultured bacterium. Its description in RNAcentral is "partial 16S ribosomal RNA". It matches the Rfam family "Bacterial small subunit ribosomal RNA", at positions 30 to 507 of the family's 1533-position model. The record is from RNAcentral.